AUUAAGUUUACUGCAAAUAAAGGUAACAUAAAAAUUUAAAAGGCUGUCUCCCUCGUAAAAGUUCACGCAGUGUAAUGACUGACCUCAGUGAAAGGGAAAUGAAAAAGUGCCAGAUUAUUGGGCCAGUGGACUUCUGAGGUUUAAUUAAGGUUGGCUGCUCAAAGAGUCCUCGUGCUCCUUCAUCACUCAUGUCAAACUGCAGAGUUGCAUUGCAGGACGUUGACCAAACCAGAGGACAGCCCUGUCGGUGAUGUCAUCAUCAUUUGGUGUGCACUAACGCUGCUUUGUGCUAAUUGCCCAGAGCAAAAACAGUCUCCAACAUUUGAGCCUGUCUGAAUGAUUGUUGUAUCACCACACCAAAGGACAAGAAAUCUAUUCUCCGCUUGAAAGUGAGAGUCCGUUAUAAGAUGGGACAGGAGGAAGUUCACCACUAGGUGUACCAUUUUGUUACACAUGAAACUCUUCUCUCCAUUUCAAAUGAAUCAAUUUGGUAAAUGCUAUAAAGUAAAAAAAAGACCAGAAUAAAGUGUCAUGUUAUAUGUUGCACACAGUGUUAAAACCAGUGGACCCACCAAACCUCAGCCUCUAAUCUUUUUUAUCAACAAUUUUAAGUAGUUGAAACCAAACCACAAAGAUGUCACUUUAAGACACGGCUUCUGGGUUUUUUGUAUCUCCCAACUCCCACUUUCUUUGGGAAAAUGUUGAU
Long non-coding RNA from Cynoglossus semilaevis (tongue sole), 706 nucleotides. RefSeq lists it as uncharacterized. NCBI's taxonomy places the organism in Eukaryota, Metazoa, Chordata, Actinopteri, Pleuronectiformes, Cynoglossidae. The record is from RefSeq and is a predicted model, not a curated record. The transcript is spliced from 2 exons.